This 451-nucleotide ribosomal RNA is filed under the name uncultured bacterium. Its description in RNAcentral is "SSU rRNA". It matches the Rfam family "Bacterial small subunit ribosomal RNA", at positions 26 to 518 of the family's 1533-position model. The record is from RNAcentral.
AGAGCGAACGCUGGCGGCAGGCCUAACACAUGCAAGUCGAGCGCCCGUAGCAAUACGGGAGCGGCAGACGGGAUAGUAACACGUGGGAACGCGCCCUUCGGUUCGGAAUAACUCAGGGAAACUUGAGCUAAUACCGAAUACGCCCUUACGGGGAAAGAUUUAUUGCCGAAGGAACGGCCCGCGUCCGAUUAGCUAGUUGGUGAGGUAAUGGCUCACCAAGGCUACGAUCGGUAGCUGGUCUGAGAGGAUGACCAGCAUCACUGGGACUGAGACACGGCCCAGACUCCUACGGGAGGCAGCAGUGGGGAAUAUUGGACAAUGGGCGCAAGCCUGAUCCAGCCAUGCCGCGUGGAUGAUGAAGGCCGUUAGGGUUGUAAAGUCCGUUUUAACGGGGAAGAUAAUGACGGUACCCGUAGAAGUAAGCCCCGGCUAACUUCGUGCCAGCAGCCGC